This 116-nucleotide ribosomal RNA is filed under the name uncultured bacterium. Its description in RNAcentral is "partial 16S ribosomal RNA". It matches the Rfam family "Bacterial small subunit ribosomal RNA", at positions 355 to 488 of the family's 1533-position model. The record is from RNAcentral.
UGGGGAAUAUUGGACAAUGGGCGAAAGCCUGAUCCAGCAAUGCCGCGUGAGUGAUGAAGGCCUUAGGAUUGUAAAGCUCUUUUACCCGGAAUGAUAAUGACAGUACCGAGAUAGUC